AGGACUAUGGGAGUGUUUAUUUAAUCACCUGGCAACAUGGUACACCUAUUGAGUUGUAACAGCAGAGCACAGGUUUAAUAAAGCAAAGCAUGAAAGGGAGCGUGUGCAUAUUCUCUACUGACAUAAAACCACCUGAUAUCAAUUAUAGCUACCGUACUGGCAAUGAGCUGAUGACCUUCACUGGAUUGCAUUAAAAACUGUGUGUACUGGCCUCGUCCUUCGGGAAAAAACACACACGAUGUCUGAAGUGACAGACAAACUACACGAAUACAGUGCACACAAUGAAUACAUCAGUUCACAUUGUGUAACAGUUCAUUUCAGUGCUAGAACAAAGACAAAGCCAGGCGGACAAACAUCAUAAAAAGCAGGUUUGUGAUUACUCAAGCUGUGGUGGGAACAGACUGAGCACCAUCACCUGCAGGUACACACACAUUAAGAAUAGACUCAAAUUAAUAAAUUAAGAAUAGACUCAAAUUAAUACAUUAAGAAUAGAC
This is a long non-coding RNA of Ictalurus punctatus (channel catfish), 494 nucleotides long. RefSeq lists it as uncharacterized. The record is from RefSeq and is a predicted model, not a curated record. The transcript has 2 exons. NCBI's taxonomy places the organism in Eukaryota, Metazoa, Chordata, Actinopteri, Siluriformes, Ictaluridae.